This 373-nucleotide ribosomal RNA is filed under the name uncultured bacterium. RNAcentral describes it as "bacterial SSU rRNA". It matches the Rfam family "Bacterial small subunit ribosomal RNA", at positions 521 to 896 of the family's 1533-position model. The record is from RNAcentral.
UAAUACGUAGGUGGCAAGCGUUGUCCGGAUUUAUUGGGUUUAAAGGGUGCGUAGGCGGUCCCAUAAGUCAGUGGUGAAAUACUCUAGCUUAACUAGAGGGGUGCCAUUGAUACUGCGGGACUUGAGUGGAGUUGAAGUGGGCGGAAUUGACGGUGUAGCGGUGAAAUGCUUAGAUAUCGUCAAGAACACCGAUAGUGAAGACAGCUCACUAAGCUCAAACUGACGCUGAGGCACGAAAGUGUGGGGAUCAAACAGGAUUAGAUACCCUGGUAGUCCACACUGUAAACGUUGAUUACUCGCUGUUGGCGAUACACAGCCAGCGGCUAAGCGCAAGCGAUAAGUAAUCCACCUGGGGAGUACGCCGGCAACGGUG